UCACACAGCUCCUUUAAAAAAGAAAACAAUCUCCUCUAGCGGAUAACUAUCUACCUCUCCAUAAACCGUGGGCCUUCAAGCAGCCAUCAAUAAAGAGUGCGUCACAGCUCUAUAAACAAAAAUCUAACAAUAAAAUUGACUCCCUUCUCACUAACAGGCUAACCUAUACUAAUAGGAGAAUCAAUGCUAAAAUGAGUAACUAGGGACUACCCUCUCAAGCGCAAACUUACAUCUCCACAUUAUUAACAGACUACAAACCAAUAUCCCAACUCAACAAGAUUAAAAUAUUGAGCCUUAUUCUGUUAACCCAACUCAGGUGCGCCUACUAGAAAGAUUAAAAUCUGUAAAAGGAACUAGGCAAACUCAAGGCCCGACUGUUUACCAAAAACAUAGCCUUCAGCCAACCAAGUAUUGAAGGUGAUGCCUGCCCAGUGACACAAUGUUUAACGGCCGCGGUAUCCUAACCGUGCGAAGGUAGCGCAAUCAAUUGUCUCAUAAAUCGAGACUUGUAUGAACGGCUAAACGAGGUCUUAACUGUCUCUUACAGAUAAUCAGUGAAAUUGAUCUUCCUGUCCAAAAGCAGGGAUACACCCAUAAGACGAGAAGACCCUGUGGAACUUAAAAAUCAACAGCCACUAUUUACAAACCCAAACCUAACAGGCCUACUGCCCUACAAUGUUGGUUGAUAUUUUUCGGUUGGGGCGACCUUGGAGAAAAACAAAUCCUCCAAAAAUAAGAUCACACUUCUUAACCUAGAGCAACCUCUCAACGUACUCACAGUAACCAGACCCAAUAUAAUUGAUAAAUGGACCAAGCUACCCCAGGGAUAACAGCGCAAUCUCCUCUAAGAGCCCGCAUCGACGAGGAGGUUUACGACCUCGAUG
This 884-nucleotide ribosomal RNA is filed under the name Tringa incana (Wandering tattler). RNAcentral's name for it is "partial 16S ribosomal RNA". It matches the Rfam family "Bacterial large subunit ribosomal RNA", at positions 1023 to 2531 of the family's 2925-position model. The record is from RNAcentral. Lineage: Eukaryota; Metazoa; Chordata; Aves; Charadriiformes; Scolopacidae.